UGCCUGCCCAGUGACAAUCGUUAAACGGCCGCGGUAUCUUGACCGUGCAAAGGUAGCAUAAUCACUUGUUCUCUAAAUAAGGACUUGUAUGAAUGGCCACACGAGGGUUUUACUGUCUCUUACUCCUAAUCAGUGAAAUUGACCUCCCCGUGAAGAGGCGGGGAUAACACAAUAAGACGAGAAGACCCUAUGGAGCUUCAAUUAAUCAACUCAAAAAGCAUAAAACAAUACCACCAAGGGAUAACAAAGCUUUAUAUGAGCUGACAAUUUCGGUUGGGGUGACCUCGGAGCAUAAAAAACCCUCCGAGUGAUUAAAACUUAGGCCUACUAGCCAAAGUACAGUAUCACAUAUUGAUCCAAAAUUUUGAUCAACGGAACAAGUUACCCUAGGGAUAACAGCGCAAUCCUAUUCUAGAGUCCAUAUCGACAAUAGGGUUUACGACCUCGAUGUUGGAUCAGGACAUCCUAAUGGUGCACCAGCUAUUAAGGGUUCGUUUGUUCAACGAUUAAAGUCCUACGUGAUCUG
This 526-nucleotide ribosomal RNA is filed under the name Globicephala melas (long-finned pilot whale). RNAcentral describes it as "partial large subunit ribosomal RNA". It matches the Rfam family "Bacterial large subunit ribosomal RNA", at positions 1856 to 2607 of the family's 2925-position model. Lineage: Eukaryota; Metazoa; Chordata; Mammalia; Artiodactyla; Delphinidae. The record is from RNAcentral.